GGUUGGUUAUGGGGUCAGUUACGGGGUCAGAAGCAUUAUGGGGUCGCUUAUAGGGUCGGUUAUAGGGUCAGAGAGUUAUGGGGUCGGUUAUGGGAUCAGAGAGAUUAUGAGGUCAGUUAUAGGGUCAGUUAUGGCGUCGGUUACAGGGUCAGAGAGUUAUGGGGUCAGGUACGGGGUUAUGGGGUCAGUUAUGGGGUCAGUUAUAGGGUUAUGGGGUUGGUUAUGCGGGUCAGAAGGGUUAUGGGGUCGGUUAUGGGGUUAUGGGAUCAGUUAUAGGGUCAGUUAUGGGGUCAGGCAAUAUGGGGUCGCUUAUAGGGUCAGUUAUGGGGUCAGUUAUAGAGUCAGAAGCUUAUAGGGUCGGUUAUAGGGUUAUGGGGUUGGUUAUGGGGCUCAGUUAUGAGGUCAGAAG
This 409-nucleotide long non-coding RNA is filed under the name Chrysolophus pictus (golden pheasant). Its description in RNAcentral is "lncRNA (ENSCPIG00010008630.1)". The record is from RNAcentral. Lineage: Eukaryota; Metazoa; Chordata; Aves; Galliformes; Phasianidae.